AAGUCGUAACAAGGUCUCCGUUGGUGAACCAGCGGAGGGAUCAUUAAAGAGUUGCAAAACUCCAACCCCUGUGAACCUUACCUUUACUGUUGCUUCGGCGGUUGGCGCCGGUGCCCAGAUGGGCCUGGAGGUCGCCGCCGGAGGUUCGAAACCCUGAAUUCUAGUGUGUCUCUGAGAAAAGAAUAAAACAAUCAAAACUUUCAACAACGGAUCUCUUGGUUCUGACAUC
Molecule: unclassified non-coding RNA, 229 nt
Filed under: Magnaporthiopsis incrustans
Lineage: Eukaryota; Fungi; Ascomycota; Sordariomycetes; Magnaporthales; Magnaporthaceae
Description: partial internal transcribed spacer region
Rfam family: Eukaryotic small subunit ribosomal RNA (bases 1-46)
Source: RNAcentral